RNAcentral lists this long non-coding RNA (237 nucleotides) under Capsicum annuum. RNAcentral describes it as "long non-coding RNA (CANN_LNC013336)". Lineage: Eukaryota; Viridiplantae; Streptophyta; Magnoliopsida; Solanales; Solanaceae. The record is from RNAcentral.
UCACCAUAGGCUUGUAGUUGUUGAAUUUGAGGGGUCUCGUGCUAUUUUGGGAGUGCAAUCAAUAAUUCGGGGCAAGAGUUAAUUAGUAGGAAAUUACAAAAGCUGCUCUCUUUUUUUGGUUAUUUAUUUUACACGUAUAUCAAAAAAUUAUAAAUAAAAAAAUAAUAAUUUUAUUAAUUCAUCUCUUAAAAUUUUAUAAACAAGUGUGAAAUUUUUUUUAAAAAGUAAAUAAAAAAU